GGCGAACGGGUGAGUAACACGUGGGUGAUCUGCCCUGCACAUCGGGAUAAGCCUGGGAAACUGGGUCUAAUACCGGAUAGGAGCCAUUUUUAGUGUGAUGGUUGGAAAGUUUUUUCGGUGUAGGAUGAGCUCGCGGCCUAUCAGCUUGUUGGUGGGGUAAUGGCCUACCAAGGCGGCGACGGGUAGCCGGCCUGAGAGGGUGGACGGCCACAUUGGGACUGAGAUACGGCCCAG
This 234-nucleotide ribosomal RNA is filed under the name uncultured Actinomycetales bacterium. RNAcentral's name for it is "partial 16S ribosomal RNA". It matches the Rfam family "Bacterial small subunit ribosomal RNA", at positions 97 to 334 of the family's 1533-position model. The record is from RNAcentral. Lineage: Bacteria; Bacillati; Actinomycetota; Actinomycetes; Actinomycetales.